Long non-coding RNA from Saccostrea cuccullata (small rock oyster), 236 nucleotides. RefSeq lists it as uncharacterized. The record is from RefSeq and is a predicted model, not a curated record. NCBI's taxonomy places the organism in Eukaryota, Metazoa, Mollusca, Bivalvia, Ostreida, Ostreidae. The transcript is spliced from 4 exons.
GUAUUUUAAUUAUUUUGUUUAUUCGUGUCCUAAACUUUAUUAUCUGGAGGAAAAUGCAGCAGAAAGGGACAGCUGUAGACAACCCAAAUGACAAAGACUAUUACAACGAAUUCCCAUCUGUUGAUAUACGAGCAAAACAAAGUGGGCAAGAUAUGAAUAUUUCGCCUUAUGCAGAACUAAGUCAACUUGACCACCCAAACACGUAUGAAGAAAUCCAUAAAUAUGCAAAAGCAGAC